CCGCGGAGAAGGGAGAGAUAAGCCCUCCUCCUCAGCCGCUGUUUCUUGGGGUCUCUAUGGCAGGGACCGCACACACGCCGGCUGCCUUCGGGGCAGCUGAAGGCAUCCUGGGGUCCCCAGCGCACCCUGGCUGGAGGUGCAGCCCCCACGGGCGCACGCUCCCCUUGCUGGUCGGACGUACGACGCACCUCGGUGUGGUCGCUGUACACGUGGUACAGCACGUGUGUGAAGACCUCAGGCGAGACGCUGUGCAGGGUGACAGCCGGGAGGCCGCCCGAGGCCUCCAGCUGCUCGCUCUCCUGGAAGUGGUCGUCCAGCAGGGCCCGGAAGUACUCGCUGCGGCCACAGAAGAAGGCCUGCGGGAGGCUGGGCUCAGGCAGGGCUGCCCUGGGAGCAGGGCUGGGCGCGCGCCUGCAGGCGAAGCCACCUACCUUGUGGCAGAGGAAGUCGUAGCCGCCCACGCGGAAGCAGACGUCGGGGCAGCUGCUAAGGCCGGCGCAGGGGAAGGGCAGCUCCCCGAGGUCGCCCNGGGGGGAGGCGGGGCAGGCUCAGGGCAGGCGCGAGGGAGAGCAGCCUGGCCCGGGCCGGUCCUAGCUCACCCUGGAAGGUGACACUGUUCCAGGGGUCGAGUUAGACACGAGAGCCGACAGAGCAAGAGAGGGGCUCAGAAAAGGGAAGCGCCAGGCUCUGGGCCUAACCUGCAGCCCAGGGCGGGGCCUUACCCGGAGCUCAGGGGGCAGGGCGCAGUCAGCGAGCAGGGCCAGGUCCUCCCGCAGCUGGGGGUCCGCCUGGGGGGGCUCGACAGUCAGCACCUUCAUGCACACACCCGGCUUGGAAGCCACUGCGGGGAAGAGCGCGCCGCUUCAGGGGGUGGGCCGCCCGCAGGCCCCCACCCGAGCCCAGGGCCUGAGGCCGGGACGGCCCCACUCACACUUGGCCUCCAGGGCACCAAGCAGGCCCCACAGCUGGCACUGCCGGGCCAGGCGCUCACAGUCGCUGACAUGCUCCACGCCGACGUCCAGGCAGCCUGGGUGCGGGGACAGUGCGGGGGGAGACGUGGGGACUGAGGAAGCCCUCGGCUGCCCCCCGCCCCCCCAGGAGGCGGGUGGUCCAUCUGCCUAACCACUGGGCUACAGGGCCGCUGUCCGAGCUCUCAGGCCCCAGGACAGCAAGAGGACCUCAGACCAUGGGUGGACAAGCCGACCGAGGAGGCAGCUGCACCGUCCCACCAGAGCAGACGAGCCCAAGAGGGAAACGACGGCCCCAAGGCCAUGUCUGGUGCCACAGCCCUUGCCCACUGAGCACGGCUCACCUGUGUACAGGUACUGCAACAGCGCCCCGAAGGCCACGGGGUUGAUCUGUGGGCAGAGACAGGGUCAGAGACGGCCACGCCACACGCGCCUCCCCCAGCGCCCGCUGACGCACCAGGGGGUGCCUGAGGACCACCGUGCUCUUGCCCUUCCACUUGGUGUCGAACAUGUGGGCAAAGUAGGUGCUGCGUGCGCCCAGAACGCCGCGAUGCGCCCGGAAGGACUUGCCGUGCACCACGAAGGCCACGUCGCUGUGGAGGCCCUGCUCCAAGAGCCUGUGGGCCGCGGGGGGCUCAGCAGUGUGCCCAGAGUCCCGCGCAGCAGGAGAGCCCUCCCCGGCGCAGGCCCCGGCAGGCCGGCUCACCGCAGCAGGAAGCUAUAGUAGAGGUCCCGCCGCCGGAAGGAGGCCGCCACCUGCCUAUAGUCACGCAGCGCCCGGCGGAUGGCGUCGCUCUGCGCGCCGUAGAGGCAGCGCUCACCGUCGAAGGUGUUGGCCUCGCAGCGGGCUCCUGAGGGCAAAAGAGCUGCCCGUCAGCGGGGCCUAAGGCUGCCCACCACGGCUGGGGACGGGGAGGUGCUCGCCCUCCCACACACACAGACACACACGGGGCCCCGGGACCGCCCUGCCCCAGCACCCUCCCCGCCAGGCCCUGGGCACACGCCACCCGGCACACAGACACCUUGGAGGCCGGCCUGAGCUAUGCUGGGCCCCGAGGACACACCACAGACAGACAGUCCCCUGUCCGCAGAAAACUGGGCUUCCAGGGGCAGGAAGACACACACAGUUAGCUUCAGAGGCUCUGAAGAAAGCUGAGAAGGUGAAGGAUGGCUCUGGUGCAGCUGCCACAGGGGUGCGGUAGAGGCACCAGGGCAGACAAGGAGCAGGGAGCUGAGCCAGGCGAGCCCCCGGGAAGGGCCGUCCGAACAGAGGAAACGGCGUGUGCCCAGGCGCCGAGGAAAAGCAGUGGUGCCGGCGGGGCUGGCCGGGGGCAGAGGGGCACACUCGGGGCCGCUUGGACGCGGCCAGGCUCUCCAGCUUGCGGGAGGCGCGGCUGGGAGGCCCUGUGGGACUUCACGCCGGUCAGACUGGCCUCCCAGGCGCUGGGCAGAUGCUGAGCUGGGCCCCGGAGAUGGAUGUCGGGGGACGGGUUCUGAGAGCACCCCAAGGGGGUGCAGGAAUGUGCCCACCGCCCACCCUGCACUCACCGUUGGCCAGCAGGUAGAGCACCAGCUCCUCGUGCCCACAGAGGCAGGCGUAGUACCUGAGGGGAUGGGGUGAGGGCGCCGUCAGGCCCGCAGGCCGCCACCCCGCUCCCCUCACUACCCCCCUGCCCGGCACUCACAGCGGGGGUGCUGCCCCACUCCGCCCUGCCCGGCACUCACAGCGAGUGCUGCCCCACUACCCCCUGCCCGGCACUCACAGCGGGGUGCUGCCCCACUACCCCCUGCCCGGCACUCACAGCGGGGUGCUGUCCCACUACCCCCUGCCCGGCACUCACAGCGGGGGUGCUGUCCCACUCCGCCCUGCCCGGCACUCACAGGGGGGUGCUGUCCCACUCCGCCCUGCCCGGCACUCACAGGGGGGUGCUGCCCCACUACCCCCUGCCCAGCACUCACAGCGGGGUGCUGCCCCACUCCCCCCUGCCCGGCACUCACAGGGGGGUGCUGUCCCACUUGUCCCGCACGUUCACCUCCACUUCUCGCUGCUCCAGCAGGUACCUGGGCAGGGGGGACGGGGUUAGAGAAGGCUGCGGGAGGGGAAGGAGGGAAGCCUCCUCCAGUGAGGGCAGGUGAGGCAGAGAGAGCGCAGGACAGGCGCUGAAGGCCGAGCAGCCAGGACAGGGUGUGGACGUGGGAGGCUGGGCGUCAGGGGCCUCGCGCUGGAGAGGCUGAGCACCCGCUGACAGCGCUGGGAGGGGCCGCCCAGCAGGAGGCCUGCAGGGUCCCGGAGGCGCGGGAGGGAAGAACGGGAGACUCCCUAAGGUGGGCGUCAGGAGACAGGGCGGCAGACGGGCGGGGGUAGGGGCGACCACUGAGGAUGCUGGAGGCCUCGGCACAUGCCCAGGCGGGAGGGACCCAGUGUGUUCUGAAGAGCACCAGGCUUUGGAGGCUACCAAGUAGACCCCAAGGGGCACCCCACCUGGGGAGGUCCCCAGCGAGGCAGCAGGAC
This 3480-nucleotide long non-coding RNA is filed under the name Ovis aries (sheep). RNAcentral's name for it is "lncRNA (ENSOARG00000026675.1)". The record is from RNAcentral. Lineage: Eukaryota; Metazoa; Chordata; Mammalia; Artiodactyla; Bovidae.